This 466-nucleotide ribosomal RNA is filed under the name uncultured delta proteobacterium. RNAcentral's name for it is "bacterial SSU rRNA". It matches the Rfam family "Bacterial small subunit ribosomal RNA", at positions 338 to 795 of the family's 1533-position model. The record is from RNAcentral. Lineage: Bacteria; Deltaproteobacteria.
CCUACGGGUGGCAGCAGUGAGGAAUUUUGCGCAAUGGGGGAAACCCUGACGCAGCAACGCCGCGUGAGUGAUGAAGGCCUUAGGGUCGUAAAGCUCUGUCAAGUGGGAAGAAAAUACAUUUCAAUAAUACUGUUAUGUACUGACGGUACCACUAAAGGAAGCACCGGCUAACUCCGUGCCAGCAGCCGCGGUAAUACGGGGGGUGCAAGCGUUAUUCGGAAUCAUUGGGCGUAAAGAGCGCGUAGGCGGUCUCUUAAGUCAGAUGUGAAAGCCCGGGGCUUAACCCCGGAAGUGCAUUUGAAACUAAGGGACUUGAGUAUGGGAGAGGGAAGUGGAAUUCCUGGUGUAGAGGUGAAAUUCGUAGAUAUCAGGAGGAACACCGGUGGCGAAGGCGACUUCCUGGACCAAUACUGACGCUGAGGCGCGAAGGCGUGGGUAGCAAACAGGAUUAGAUACCCCGGUAGUC